Gorilla gorilla gorilla (western lowland gorilla) is the source of this 520-nucleotide long non-coding RNA. RefSeq lists it as uncharacterized. The record is from RefSeq and is a predicted model, not a curated record. Lineage: Eukaryota; Metazoa; Chordata; Mammalia; Primates; Hominidae. The transcript is spliced from 3 exons.
UUUAACAUGUCUACAUGGGAGCUGUUAGCAUGAAGAUCCAAAGAUACAAGGACAAUUAUAAUUUUUAUGCUUAGAUUUAAAAAAGUAUGGACAGCUGUAUAGAAACAUGAUUGGACAAGAAGGUAUGAUCUAAAUAAGUGGGAAAACCCAUCAAGGCCUCUCUGUCUAGAUUUUUCUUGGCCUCUGACCACUUAUUCCUUCCUUCUGAGUAUGAGACAGAGUCCUGUCUGGAAUGGGACUCUUAUGACCUACAGUCAAACAAGGUUUUGGUCUGCCUUUCAGUAGAAUGUAAGCUGCAUGGAGACGUAUAAUACAAAUUCAUUAACUACUCAGUGAAUGACUGGAUGAGGAAAUCCGUCAUCCUUGGCUCAGGUAUUUAUUGAAUUGGACUCUUUUCAUCGACACUCCUUCUACCAAGUUAGGACACAUUGAGACGGCGCCAUCUAUGAACCAGGAAGCAGACCUUCAACAGACACUGAAUCUGCCAGAACUUUCAUCUUGGGAUUUCCCAGCCUCUACA